UAUCAAUAAGCGGAGGAAAAGAAACUAACAAGGAUUCCCCUAGUAACAGCGAGUGAAGAGGGAUCAGCCCAAAUUUGUAAUCUGGCUCUUUUCAGAGUCUGAGUUGUAAUUUUGAGAACUGUUUUCUGCUCUGGACCAUGUACAAGUCUGUUGAAAUGCAGCAUCAUUGAGGGUGAGAAUCCUGUUCAUGAUAUGGACUACCAGAGCUUUAUGAUAUAGUCUCUAAGAGUCGAGUUGUUUGGGAAUGCAGCUCAAAGUGGGUGGUAAAUUCCAUCUAAGGCUAAAUAUUGGUGAGAGACCGAUAGCAAACAAGUACCGUGAGGGAAAGAUGAAAAGAACUUUGGAAAGAGAGUUAACAGUACGUGAAAUUGUUAAAAGGGAAACAGUUGAAGUUAGACUUGUUGUUGUUGGUUCAGCUCUUUUAAGGGUGUUUUYUAAUAAUUAACAAACCAAUGUCAAUUUUUGGGUGUUGGAUAAGGGUUAUUGAAAUGUAGCAGUUUUGGCUGUGUUAUAGUCUUUGACUUGGAUACAAUGCUUAGGAUUGAGGAUUGCAGUAAGCCAUUUAUUUGGUGGAACAAUUUAUUGUUCUUCUUGCUGAGGAUAUUGGUGAAAUAGCUUUAAUUGACCCGU
This 630-nucleotide ribosomal RNA is filed under the name Gymnosporangium japonicum. Its description in RNAcentral is "eukaryotic LSU rRNA". It matches the Rfam family "Eukaryotic large subunit ribosomal RNA", at positions 41 to 652 of the family's 3401-position model. The record is from RNAcentral. Lineage: Eukaryota; Fungi; Basidiomycota; Pucciniomycetes; Pucciniales; Gymnosporangiaceae.